UACAGAGGGUGCGAGCGUUGUCCGGAAUCACUGGGCGUAAAGGGCGCGUAGGUGGCCUGAUAAGUAGGGGGUGAAAUCUCGAGGCUCAACUUCGAGGCUGCCUCCUAAACUGUCAGGCUUGAGCAGAGUAGAGGCAGGUGGAAUUCCCGGUGUAGCGGUGGAGUGCGUAGAGAUCGGGAGGAACAUCAGUGGCGAAGGCGGCCAUCUGGGACAACACUGACGCUGAGGCACGAAAGCGUGGGGAGCAAACAGG
RNAcentral lists this ribosomal RNA (253 nucleotides) under uncultured bacterium. Its description in RNAcentral is "partial 16S ribosomal RNA". It matches the Rfam family "Bacterial small subunit ribosomal RNA", at positions 524 to 776 of the family's 1533-position model. The record is from RNAcentral.